This 168-nucleotide ribosomal RNA is filed under the name Listeria monocytogenes. Its description in RNAcentral is "partial 16S ribosomal RNA". It matches the Rfam family "Bacterial small subunit ribosomal RNA", at positions 1 to 160 of the family's 1533-position model. Lineage: Bacteria; Bacillati; Bacillota; Bacilli; Caryophanales; Listeriaceae. The record is from RNAcentral.
UAUUUUAAAGAGAGUUUGAUCCUGGCUCAGGACGAACGCUGGCGGCGUGCCUAAUACAUGCAAGUCGAACGAACGGAGGAAGAGCUUGCUCUUCCAAAGUUAGUGGCGGACGGGUGAGUAACACGUGGGCAACCUGCCUGUAAGUUGGGGAUAACUCCGGGAAACCGG